This 748-nucleotide long non-coding RNA is filed under the name Felis catus (domestic cat). RNAcentral's name for it is "lncRNA (ENSFCAG00000045756.2)". The record is from RNAcentral. Lineage: Eukaryota; Metazoa; Chordata; Mammalia; Carnivora; Felidae.
AAAGGGACAAGGGCAGGUGUGUCAGUCAGGGUCCUGUGGCAGGAAGAAGUACACCUGGAUGCAACUUGGAAGCGAAUUGGACAAAGGGAUGAUUUCAUAGAGGCAAGGGCAGGAAGGGGAACUGCCAGGACUCCGGGGGCGACCGGGACUAGCUGCGGUGGGCAGUCUCCGCCACCACUUAGGCCUCUCGGGAGCUGGAGUCAUGAAGGAGGGACUCCCCGGGGUUGGGGGCUGAGGUCCUGGAGGGGUGCAGCCGUUACUGGCGCGUGGAGGGAUGGGUCUAGCUCUCCAUCUCCCGCCAGCGCCAGACCCAACUGGAACUCAGAGAACAACGGAGCCCAGGUAGCCACCGAUCCUACCAGCAGGACCUGUGUUGUGGGAAUGAAAGAGCUGAGUGGAGGGGCGCCUGGGUGGCGCAGUCGGUUAAGUGUCCGACUUCAGCCAGGUCACGAUCUCGCGGUCCGGGAGUUCGAGCCCCGCGUCGGGCUCUGGGCUGAUGGCUCAGAGCCUGGAGCCUGUUUCCGAUUCUGUGUCUCCCUCUCUCUCUGCCCCUCCCCCGUUCAUGCUCUGUCUCUCUCUGUCCCAAAAAUAAAUAAAAACGUUGAAAAAAAAAAUUAAAAAAAAAAAAACGCAACUCUGGGCAUGUGUCUCCCUUGCUUAAAACGUUCCAUUUACUUCAGGGUCCAAACCAGAUUCCCCAACAGAGCCCCAGAGGGUGCCAAGUGAUGAGUCUCCAUGCCAUCCCCUC